Molecule: ribosomal RNA, 497 nt
Filed under: uncultured bacterium
Lineage: Bacteria
Description: partial 16S ribosomal RNA
Rfam family: Bacterial small subunit ribosomal RNA
Source: RNAcentral
GAUGAACGCUGGCGGCGUGCCUAAUACAUGCAAGUCGAGCGAACAGACGAGGAGCUUGCUCCUCUGACGUUAGCGGCGGACGGGUGAGUAACACGUGGAUAACCUACCUAUAAGACUGGGAUAACUUCGGGAAACCGGAGCUAAUACCGGAUAAUAUAUUGAACCGCAUGGUUCAAUAGUGAAAGACGGUUUUGCUGUCACUUAGAGAUGGAUCCGCGCCGCAUUAGCUAGUUGGUAAGGUAACGGCUUACCAAGGCAACGAUGCGUAGCCGACCUGAGAGGGUGAUCGGCCACACUGGAACUGAGACACGGUCCAGACUCCUACGGUAGGCAGCAGUAGGGAAUCUUCCGCAAUGGGCGAAAGCCUGACGGAGCAACGCCGCGUGAGUGAUGAAGGUCUUCGGAUCGUAAAACUCUGUUAUUAGGGAAGAACAAAUGUGUAAGUAACUAUGCACGUCUUGACGGUACCUAAUCAGAAAGCCACGGCUAACUACGUG